Xyrichtys novacula (pearly razorfish) is the source of this 618-nucleotide non-coding RNA. Lineage: Eukaryota; Metazoa; Chordata; Actinopteri; Labriformes; Labridae. The record is from the annotation of a GenBank genome assembly.
GCCUGGACUCCAGCUGAUGAACAUGAGGGCAGAGACAGCAGGAAUUUUUCACACGGCUUCUUUUUUUUCACACGGUAUUUUUAAUUGAACUAUAAUGUUUUUGUCAAAAGCUGUUUUAUUUAUGUUUCAAAAUGAAUGAUGAAUAUGACAGAGAACUCAACGAUUACUGUCCAUUAUGAAUGGGAAUACUACGAUGAUUAUCUUGAUUCUGUGCAUGUGGACCAGAGCACGCUGACCUACAACAAAUGUAAGUGUAAAUGUUCAAUAGAAAUAUGGAUUCUUUUCUUGUUUCAUGUUUAAAUGGCUGUUUUUUGUGUGUUUUUUCAGACUCAAUUGUUAUAAUAUUUUGGAUCAUUCUGUCUGCUUUUGUGGGAUUCCUCUUUCUCAGUUUAAAUAUGAUGUCUGGUGGUGGAAACUUUUCAAGGUAAUAAUCUGUGUUGACUUAAAAUACUCCAAUAUACUAAACAUUGUAUGUACACGUACGCAUCCAUGACUAAAUUCACCCACAAAGCUCCUUUUCUAACCCUUCACUUCUUUUUCUCACAGAAGUCGGAGAUCAAAAAGCAAACUAAGCCCCCAAACAUCAACAGCCUGAGAGACAACUGUUUUCUUGGAAAU